CCCUUAGAUGUUCUGGGCCGCACGCGCGCUACACUGAUGCAUUCAACAAGCCUAGCCUUGACCGAGAGGUCCGGGUAAUCUUUGAAACUGCAUCGUGAUGGGGCUAGAUUAUUGCAAUUAUUAAUCUUCAACGAGGAAUGCCUAGUAAGCGUGAUUCAUCAAAUCGCGUUGAUUACGUCCCUGCCCUUUGUACACACCGCCCGUCGCUGCCCGGGACUGAGCCGUUUCGAGAAAAGCGGGGACUGCUGCUGUCGGGGCUUUCGGGCCUUGGCUUCGGUGGAAACCGCUUUAAUCGCAGUGGCUUGAACCGGGCAAAANUCGUANCA
RNAcentral lists this ribosomal RNA (326 nucleotides) under uncultured eukaryote. RNAcentral's name for it is "partial 18S ribosomal RNA". It matches the Rfam family "Eukaryotic small subunit ribosomal RNA", at positions 1470 to 1796 of the family's 1831-position model. The record is from RNAcentral.